This 405-nucleotide ribosomal RNA is filed under the name uncultured bacterium. Its description in RNAcentral is "partial 16S ribosomal RNA". It matches the Rfam family "Bacterial small subunit ribosomal RNA", at positions 30 to 526 of the family's 1533-position model. The record is from RNAcentral.
AUUGAACGCUAGCGGCAUGCCUUACACAUGCAAGUCGAACGAGUGGCGGACGGGUGAGUAAUAUCUCGGAACGUGCCCAGUAGCGGGGGAUAACUACUCGAAAGAGUGGCUAAUACCGCAUACUAUUGGAUCGGCCCAUAUCGGAUUAGCUAGUUGGUGGGGUAACGGCUCACCAAGGCAACGAUCCGUAGCUGGUUUGAGAGGACGACCAGCCACAAUGGAACUGAGAAACGGCCCAGACUCCUACGGGAGGCAGCAGUGGUGAAUUUGGGACAAUGGGGGAAACCCUGCUCCAGCCAUCCCGCGUGUAUGAGAAGGCCUUCGGGUUGUAAAGUACUUUAAGCGGAGUAGCGGUAUCUGCAGAAUAAGCACCGGCUAACUACGUGCCAGCCGCCGCGGUAAUUC